This 255-nucleotide ribosomal RNA is filed under the name uncultured bacterium. Its description in RNAcentral is "partial 16S ribosomal RNA". It matches the Rfam family "Bacterial small subunit ribosomal RNA", at positions 524 to 776 of the family's 1533-position model. The record is from RNAcentral.
UACGUAGGAUCCGAGCGUUAUCCGGAUUUAUUGGGCGUAAAGAGUUGCGUAGGCGGCUAAGUAAGCAAAUAGUGAAAGAGUGUGGCUUAACCAUACGAACAUUGUUUGAACUGCUUUGGCUAGAGAGCGGAAGAGGUAGCUGGAAUUAUUAGUGGAGGAGUAAUAUCCGUAGAUAUUAGUAAGAACACCAAUGGCGAAGGCAGGCUACUGGUCCGUUUCUGACGCUCAGGCACGAAAGCGUAGGUAGCAAACAGG